ACUCAGAUUCUCCCCAAACGCCAAGGAUGGGGGUCAUGGCUCCCCGAACCCUCCUCCUGCUGCUCUUGGGGGCCCUGGCCCUGACCGAGACCUGGGCCGCGACUCCGUGAGUCCGAGGAUGGAGCGGCGGGCGCCGUGGGUGGAGCAGGAGGGGCUGGAGUAUUGGGACCAGGAGACACGGAACGCCAAGGGCCACGCGCAGAUUUACCGAGUGAACCUGCGGACCCUGCUCCGCUAUUACAACCAGAGCGAGGCCGGUAUGAACAGUUCGCCUACGAUGGCAAGGAUUACAUCGCCCUGAACGAGGACCUGCACUCCUGGACCGCCGCGAACACAGCGGCUCAGAUCUCCCAGCACAAGUGGGAAGCGGACAAAUACUCAGAGCAGGUCAGGGCCUACCUGAGGGCAAGUGCAUGGAGUGGCUCCGCAGACACCUGGAGAACGGGAAGGAGACGCUGCAGCACGCGGAUCCCCCAAAGGCACAUGUGACCCAGCACCCCAUCUCUGACCAUGAGGCCACCCUGAGGUGCUGGGCCCUGGGCCUCUACCCUGCGGAGAUCACACUGACCUGGCAGCAGGAUGGGGAGGACCAGACCCAGGACACGGAGCUUGUGGAGACCAGGCCUGCAGGGGACGGAACCUUCCAGAAGUGGGUGGCUGUAGUGGUGCCUUCCGGAGAGGAGCAGAGAUACAUGUGCCAUGUGCAGCAUGAGGGGCUGCCAGAGCCCCUCACCCUGAGAUGGGAGCCGUCUUCUCAGCCCACCAUCCCCAUCGUGGGCAUCGUUGCUGGCCUGUUUCUCCUUGGAGCUGUGGUCACUGGAGCUGUGGUUGCUGCUGCGAUGUGGAGGAAGAAAAGCUCAGGCAGCAAUUGUGCUCAGUACUCUGAUGCAUCUCAUGAUACUUGUAAAGCUUGAGACAACUGCCUUGAGUGGGACUGAGAGAUACAAAAUUUCUUCAGGUCCUUCCUCUGACACACACCAUUGUAAUUUCAAGAGCUCCUGACUUCUAUAUCUGCACUUGACACGUGAAUAUAUCUAUGUGUCUGUGUUCCAGUUAGCAUAAUGUGAGGAAAUGGGCUACUGGUCCACCACUGCCACCAGGACCACCACCCCACACUAACCUGUCCUCUCUUCCCCGGUCAAGUUUUUUUUCAACAGAGAGGACUAUGCCUGUUCCUGUUCUGGUGUCUGCGUUCUGAUCUCUUUCUCCCCUGGGUGUCCCUCAUCUCUGACAGCAGCAGGAGUCAUUUUUCCUGUCAUUAACCCCACAAGGUGGAAGGCAGCCCCUGCACACAGAAGUCUGUGGUAUUAAGAGAUGAAUUUUCAAGCCCGUGCAGCUUUUACCCUAUUUCCAGGGCUCUUUCUUGGAUUGUAUUUUCUAUCUUUUCCCCAACCUUUUUAAAGGAACUAGAUUCUGAAAUUAGCAGAGAAGAGGGAUGCCACAAGUUCUCAUCUUAGGUAACUUUCUAGUGGAACUCCUCUUCUGCUCAGCUCUCCUACCCACUCUCCCUUCCCUGAGUUGUAGUAAUCCUAGCACUGGCUCUAAUGCAAACUCAUGGAUCUAUAAAGCAAAGUCUAACUUAGAUUUAUAUUUGUUUGGAAAUUGGGAUUCAUAGUCAAAGAUUGUUCUUUCCUAAGAGGGAAAUAUAAUUGCAUGCUGCAGUGUGCAGAGGGUUGGUGUGAAGGAGGGAUGCAGGGAGGAAGGGAGGGAGGACACACAAGCAGCACUGCUGGGAAAAGCACAGGCGGCCUGGAUGUCAGUGUGAGGGGACCUUGUGCUGUCGUUGCUGCAAAACCGCAUUUGGCCUGAGGCUAUGUUAAUAAAGAUACUGCCUUUAGAAUA
This is a long non-coding RNA of Homo sapiens (human), 1842 nucleotides long. Ensembl annotates it as major histocompatibility complex, class I, L (pseudogene). Its record names the gene HLA-L. Lineage: Eukaryota; Metazoa; Chordata; Mammalia; Primates; Hominidae. The record is from Ensembl.